GCGCCCUUAGCUCAGUUGGAUAGAGCAACGACCUUCUAAGUCGUGGGCUGCAGGUUCGAAUCCUGCAGGGCGCGCCA
This 77-nucleotide transfer RNA is filed under the name Escherichia coli. Its description in RNAcentral is "tRNA-Arg". It matches the Rfam family "tRNA". From Rfam's summary of the family: Transfer RNA (tRNA) molecules are approximately 80 nucleotides in length. Their secondary structure includes four short double-helical elements and three loops (D, anti-codon, and T loops). The record is from RNAcentral. Lineage: Bacteria; Pseudomonadati; Pseudomonadota; Gammaproteobacteria; Enterobacterales; Enterobacteriaceae. RNAcentral also lists the same sequence under 1 other name.